Molecule: non-coding RNA, 2523 nt
Organism: Punica granatum (pomegranate)
Lineage: Eukaryota; Viridiplantae; Streptophyta; Magnoliopsida; Myrtales; Lythraceae
Source: RefSeq, a predicted model, not a curated record
GAUUUGGCUAGCAAUAGUAGCAUCGGUUGCGAAUCUCGACAAUCGACAUCCCCUGAGCAGGCCAGACGACAUCGGUUGCGAAUCUCGGCGACCGAAAAUAUUUGUUGCGCAUCUGUCUCUCUCAUACUGCCACCCUCCCGGCUCUCCUCUUCUGUGUUUCGCCCGAUGGAGACUGCGACGGUCGCUUCGGCUUCUUGGGCGCUUCGCCUUCAGAAUCAUUUCCCCGGAGGAAAAGCAUCUAUCUAAUCAUCCCCUUAAAUGACCGGAAUUUCUGAAGGUUUAGCCACAUUCCAUUCCCUUGUGUGAGUAAUGCCAUGGCCUACUUCUCCUUCCGUCGCCUUCUCAUACACGUCGAGGCGUUUUGAAAAGCGUUUCGGCCUCCAUUCACGUUUCCUCUGCUCUUCCCCUUCAGCAAGAUCACGCCUUUUCGUCAUUAUUCGUUCUCGGGUCUUCCGCAUUUUCCCUCUGAAACUCUGCGUAAGCUCCUCCCGCUAAAACCCUUUUGCCUUCUCCGGCCUCCCGUGCCAUUACGGGACGGCGGGACCGAAGAGCAUCUCUCGGACGUUGUGCCCGCCGCCGCCAUUUUUGAGCUUCUAACAGCUAUUGUCACCUCCGCCACCAGCUCCUUCCGUCACCGGCUCCUCCCGUUGCUCCUUACGCGCAUCUCCAAUCGGUAUCUUCUUGCGCACCAGCUCGUCCCCAUAACGUCCCCUCCUGCCGGUCCUCACGCUCGCCUCUGUAUACGGUUCUUAUUUCGUUGUUGUUUUCAGCCGGAUGGAGUCUGAUAGCGGAAGAGAGAGCAUUCCCGAGUUGAUUAAGAGCUUGGAAUCAACAUUUUUUCCCUCCGAUUACAAGGUCGUGGAGGAGAAGCUCUUGGCUCGGGAGGAACAAUUGAAUCUCAAGGUGGAAACUUACAAGAAGAAGUGUGAAGCGCUGAAACUAAAGCUGGAAGAAAUAAGAACCCCUAAGGAUGUCCUCAAUGGGUUUUCCAACAAAUUAUUGAGGAACGAGAAUAAUCGUUUAAAGGAGAAGAUAGACAGGUUAGAGGACGAAAAUGCAGCUUAUAGGAGGGAUUACGAAGAACUGGUAAAGCGGAUGUCCCAAAUAGAGGAUGAUAUCACCGAAAUGAAGGCCGAUUUUGGUAGUGAACAGGGUUGCCCUAAUGGUGUUGUCAUGCAGGGAGAGACUGGGAAUAGUUCGGUCCACUCUAAGCUUAAGAUGAAGUGGCCGAUUUGUUUCGAAGAGUUUCUGUUUAUCACGCCGAGCAUGGCUUCAAAAUCCCCGCCAAGUGAGGAAGGAGACCUGAACGGAAGCAAAUUAGGGUCCAAGAAGGUAAACAAAAGCUACAAUUCUCUUCAGACUAAUGGAGAGAAAACAACAGCCGGCCUCAAACGUCGAGAGAGCUCUCUUGUAGAUCUAAGUGACGAUGAGAGUGAGAACAGCUGGAGAAAAUUGAGAAAGACAGAAGCUUGUUGUGUUGUUGGUGAAGCUGCUAGGUCUUCCUCUAAAUCCCUGCAGGAUAUGGUUGUUCUUGAGAAGUGCCAAGAGACCAGCAACACCAAGAUGAACUCCUAUGACAAGAAUACUAUGGCUUCUAGCACUGAAAGAGACUCUUUCCAACGCCAACACAACCCAGAGGCAUCAAAAACUCGAAGGAGUUUCACCGAAGCUAGCCGAUUUACAGAGUUACGACCGGCAGAGAAGGCAAUUUUCUAAUGUUAAGCACCUUGAGCUGAAGGAGCAUUUACAGGGAUUUGGUAAUUUGGCUUGACAAACAUGUCCUUUUAAAACAGUUGUCUUCUAUCACAAAUACAUGUGCGUUUUUUUUUUCCUCUCAAAAAAUAUAUGUCAUAGAAAAAGCAAAUAUUGGAAGAGAAGAGUUACAAUUGUGGAUUCAUAUGGUCAUUCCAACGGAAGGCAAUUUCUCUAUAUGAGCUGCCCUGAUGGUUGUACUUAUAAUUACACGCAGGGAAACAUCAUGGGUUGAAUUUCUUACAAGUGGAUAUCCACAGGGCAGGUUGAAAAGGUCCAUCUCCGAGCUGCAGAAGUUCAACACUCAUUUCAUCGAGCAUUGUAGGAAAAAUAGCAGUCAACUAUUUCAAGGAGUUGAUCAAAAUAUACAACAAGAAAGAAGACCCCUUUUUUUCCGCACUCAUAAGGUAGCGAACUUAAUGCUUAAGAGCCAUUCCAGGAUGGAAACUGUAGAUAAUAGAAGCGGAGCCCCCCCACACUGAAAUGAAUCAGGACUCUCCUGCAGAUUUUGUUGUUGAUGGGUGAUGGCAUUCUGCCUCACCCACUUGAUUGAGGUACAUAUGACUGUCCUGCUAGGAUAUGUGCAGACAAAGUACUCACUCACCGUGUUUUUUAUGUACGUAGUUAGGAUGUUAGGAAUGAUGCGAACGUCGAUCAGGGCCCUUUAACUUGUCUAGUCUUAUCUUGUAGUUCCUUCGAACACAUCGUCUGUUGAAUGUGUACUUAAAUCUUUUGACUAAUCAAACCUCCAUCCUUCUGGGCAUUCUUCUA